Molecule: ribosomal RNA, 435 nt
Filed under: uncultured bacterium
Lineage: Bacteria
Description: bacterial SSU rRNA
Rfam family: Bacterial small subunit ribosomal RNA
Source: RNAcentral
AACGAACGCUGGCGGCGUGCCUAACACAUGCAAGUCGUGCGAGAAGGUUCCUUCGGGAGCGAGUAAAGCGGCGCACGGGUGAGUAACACGUAGGUAACCCGCCCCCAGUCUGGAACAACUAGAGGAAACUCUAGCUAAUGCCGGAUGAGACCACGAUCCCUUCGGGGGUUGCGGCCAAAGAUGGCCUCUACUUGUAAGCUAUCGCUGAGGGAUGGGCCUGCGGGCCAUUAGCUUGUUGGUGAGGUAACGGCUCACCAAGGCUGUGAUGGCUAGCUGGUCUGAGAGGAUGACCAGCCACACUGGGACUGAGACACGGCCCAGACUCCUACGGGAGGCGGCAGUGGGGGAAUAUUGCGCAAUGGGCGAAAGCCUGACGCAGCGACGCCGCGUGGGUGAUGAAGGCCUGGUCGUAAGACCCUCGUCGCAGGGAAGGAA